AUAGCGUAUAUUAAAGUUGUUGCAGUUAAAAAGCUCGUAGUUGAACUUCAGACCUGGCUGGGCGGUCAGCUUAUCGGCUAGUACUGUCCGGCUGGGCCUUACUUCUUGGUGAGCCGGUGUGCCCUUUAUUGGGUGCGUCGGUGAACCAGGACCUUUACCUUGAGAAAAUUAGAGUGUUCAAAGCAGGCCUAUGCCCGAAUACAUUAGCAUGGAAUAAUAAAAUAGGACGUGCGGUUCUAUUUUGUUGGUUUCUAGAGUCGCCGUAAUGAUUAAUAGGGAUAGUUGGGGGCAUUGGUAUUGAGUCGCUAGAGGUGAAAUUCUUGGAUUGACUCAAGACCAACUAUUG
Molecule: ribosomal RNA, 346 nt
Filed under: uncultured eukaryote
Lineage: Eukaryota
Description: SSU rRNA
Rfam family: Eukaryotic small subunit ribosomal RNA
Source: RNAcentral